RNAcentral lists this ribosomal RNA (234 nucleotides) under uncultured Actinomycetales bacterium. RNAcentral describes it as "partial 16S ribosomal RNA". It matches the Rfam family "Bacterial small subunit ribosomal RNA", at positions 97 to 334 of the family's 1533-position model. The record is from RNAcentral. Lineage: Bacteria; Bacillati; Actinomycetota; Actinomycetes; Actinomycetales.
GGCGAACGGGUGAGUAACACGUGGGUGAAUCUGCCUUGCACUCUGGGAUAAGCUUGGGAAACUGGGUCUAAUACCGGAUAGGAACCGUCUUUAGUGUGGUGGUUGGAAAGUUUUUCGGUGCAAGAUGAGCUCGCGGCCUAUCAGCUUGUUGGUGGGGUAAUGGCCUACCAAGGCGUCGACGGGUAGCCGGCCUGAGAGGGUGUACGGCCACAUUGGGACUGAGAUACGGCCCAG